This 770-nucleotide ribosomal RNA is filed under the name uncultured bacterium. RNAcentral's name for it is "bacterial SSU rRNA". It matches the Rfam family "Bacterial small subunit ribosomal RNA", at positions 8 to 773 of the family's 1533-position model. The record is from RNAcentral.
AGAGUUUGAUCAUGGCUCAGAUUGAACGCUGGCGGCAGGCCUAACACAUGCAAGUCGAGCGGUGGAGAGAAGCUAGCUUCUCUUGAGAGCGGCGGACGGGUGAGUAAUGCCUAGGAAUCUGCCUGGUAGUGGGGGAUAACGUUCGGAAACGGACGCUAAUACCGCAUACGUCCUACGGGAGAAAGCAGGGGACCUUCGGGCCUUGCGCUAUCAGAUGAGCCUAGGUCGGAUUAGCUAGUUGGUGAGGUAAUGGCUCACCAAGGCGACGAUCCGUAACUGGUCUGAGAGGAUGAUCAGUCACACUGGAACUGAGACACGGUCCAGACUCCUACGGGAGGCAGCAGUGGGGAAUAUUGGACAAUGGGCGAAAGCCUGAUCCAGCCAUGCCGCGUGUGUGAAGAAGGUCUUCGGAUUGUAAAGCACUUUAAGUUGGGAGGAAGGGUUGUAGAUUAAUACUCUGCAAUUUUGACGUUACCGACAGAAUAAGCACCGGCUAACUCUGUGCCAGCAGCCGCGGUAAUACAGAGGGUGCAAGCGUUAAUCGGAAUUACUGGGCGUAAAGCGCGCGUAGGUGGUUUGUUAAGUUGGAUGUGAAAUCCCCGGGCUCAACCUGGGAACUGCAUUCAAAACUGACUGACUAGAGUAUGGUGGAGGGUGGUGGAAUUUCCUGUGUAGCGGUGAAAUGCGUAGAUAUAGGAAGGAACACCAGUGGCGAAGGCGACCACCUGGACUAAUACUGACACUGAGGUGCGAAAGCGUGGGGAGCAAAC